AGAGUUUGAUCAUGGCUCAGAGUGAACGCUGGCGGCAGGCCUAAUACAUGCAAGUCGAACGGCGGCACGGCAGAGCUUGCUCUGUGGGUGGCGAGUGGCGGACGGGUGAGGAAUACAUGGGAAUCUGCCCAGUCGUGGGGGAUAACGUAGGGAAACUUACGCUAAUACCGCAUGCGCCCUUCGGGGGAAAGCCGGGGACCUUCGGGCCUGGCGCGAUUGGAUGAGCCCAUGUCGGAUUAGCUAGUUGGCGGGGUAAUGGCCCACCAAGGCGACGAUCCGUAGCUGGUCUGAGAGGAUGAUCAGCCACACUGGAACUGAGACACGGUCCAGACUCCUACGGGAGGCAGCAGUAGGGAAUAUUGGACAAUGGGCGCAAGCCUGAUCCAGCCAUGCCGCGUGAGUGAAGAAGGCCCUCGGGUUGUAAAGCUCUUUUGUCCGGAAAGAAAAGCGCCGGGUUAAUACCCUGGUGUCCUGACGGUACCGGAAGAAUAAGCACCGGCUAACUUCGUG
Molecule: ribosomal RNA, 510 nt
Filed under: uncultured bacterium
Lineage: Bacteria
Description: bacterial SSU rRNA
Rfam family: Bacterial small subunit ribosomal RNA
Source: RNAcentral